RNAcentral lists this unclassified non-coding RNA (296 nucleotides) under uncultured Psathyrella. RNAcentral's name for it is "sequence contains ITS2". The stretch from base 1 to 52 matches the Rfam family "5.8S ribosomal RNA", at positions 103 to 154 of the family's 154-position model. Lineage: Eukaryota; Fungi; Basidiomycota; Agaricomycetes; Agaricales; Psathyrellaceae. The record is from RNAcentral.
AACGCACCUUGCGCUCCUUGGUAUUCCGAGGAGCAUGCCUGUUUGAGUGUCAUUAAAUUCUCAACCUCAUCAGUUUUGUUAUGAGACUGUGUGAGGCUUGGAUGUGGGGGUUGUGCAGAACGCUUUCGAGCAGACUGCUCCCCUUAAAAAUAUUAGCGAGUUCAAACUGGGCUCCGUCUAUUGGUGUGAUAAUUAUCUACGCCGUGGAUGGGGCUUAGACUUGCUUCUAACCGUCCGCAAGGACAAUCUUUUGACAAUUUGACCUCAAAUCAGGUAGGACUACCCGCUGAACUUAA